GAAGACACGAAUAUUACUAGAGGGACCAGCGGAAAGGCGAAAGCCUUGCCAACUACAUCGCAGACCUCCGCAACCUUGGAGGCCUCUGCGGAUUCUCUGACUUAGAAGAAGCCCUCCGAGACCGCCUAGUCCUGGGCCUAGAAGACGGCACGAUCCAGAGCAAAAUCAUGGCUAAGGGGGACAUCAGCCUCACUGAUGCCCUUAAAGAAGCCACUGCAGCGGAGGCGACCAAAAAGUCGGCAGCCCGAAUGCGCCGCACCAGCGCACCGCAACGUCAACUCGCCAAAGAUACCUCGCCUCGCUCAGAGAGACACCCGGUAUCGACUCACCACGAAGACCUAGAAUCCCCAUCAGAAAGCGAUGAGGAAGAGGUCAACCGACUCCGAACGGAACGAGACCAGUUCACACAACACUCCUCUCGACCUUGUGCAGGAUGUGGAGCGAAUCACCCACGAUCCAGCUGCAAAUUCCUCGACGCACUCUGCCGCGUUUGCGGGAAAAGAGGUCACAUCGCAAAGGUUUGCAGAAGCAAACAAAACUCCAACUCCAAACCCCGACAGGCCGAAUGCCAGUCUUCAGAAUUCUUCGGCACACCCCGAAACAAACUGAAUCACCAAUGGGGAAGCCACUCUUACAGAAACAAACCGUCCACCACUUCCACCAGGCGGGAAGAGACCCACCAGACAAUUACCAUAGGCCACGCUACAUCCCUUGAUGCCGGGAAAAUCAGAGUGAAGGUCGCUAUCGAAAACAAACCUUGUGUAAUGGAGGUGGACUCAGGAUCAUCCAUCUCGAUGGUGUCCUGGAAGACGCUUCAACAGCUCAUUCCGACGAUCCGCCGCCAAGACCUCAACCCUCAAAGGGUUAUACUCAAAGAUUACCAGGGUAACCAAAUUCCCGUUGUCGGGUCCCGCCGAUUCCAGGUCUCUUUCAAGGACCGCACUGUCGCACUGCCACUGACUGUUGUGGACCGUGACCGGCCUAGUCUUUUAGGCCUUCAAUGGUUCAGACCGCUUGGAAUCACUGUAGCCGGAGUCCACCGCGCCGAGAGCAACGAUUGGGAGGAAGCCCUCGUGCAAGAAUUCCAAGACGUUUUCGAGAACGGACUAGGCAAGUACAAGGGGACCCCGAUCUCAUUUAACUUGAACCCUGAGGUAGCACCCAUCCGCCUUAAGCCGCGUCGGGUGCCGUUCGCCCUGAAACCUAAAAUCGAUGAACAACUCGAUAAGCUAAUAGAACAGGGCAUGCUGGAACCCACCGACCACGCCCGGUGGGAAACCCCAAUAGUGAUG
Molecule: long non-coding RNA, 1292 nt
Filed under: Notechis scutatus (mainland tiger snake)
Lineage: Eukaryota; Metazoa; Chordata; Lepidosauria; Squamata; Elapidae
Description: lncRNA (ENSNSUG00000002353.1)
Source: RNAcentral